RNAcentral lists this transfer RNA (72 nucleotides) under Flavobacteriales bacterium. RNAcentral's name for it is "tRNA-Arg". It matches the Rfam family "tRNA". Rfam says of the family: Transfer RNA (tRNA) molecules are approximately 80 nucleotides in length. Their secondary structure includes four short double-helical elements and three loops (D, anti-codon, and T loops). Lineage: Bacteria; Pseudomonadati; Bacteroidota; Flavobacteriia; Flavobacteriales. The record is from RNAcentral.
AGCCCCAUAGUUCAAGGGAUAGAAUAGUUGUUUCCUAAACAAUUGAUCGCAGUUCGAGUCUGCGUGGGGCUA